CGACAGAGGAAUGGAUAAAGAAGAUGUGGUACAUACAUAUGAUGGAUUAUUAAUCAGCCAUAAAAACAAAUGGAAUUUUGCCUUUGUCAGCAACAUGGAUGCACCUGAGGGGUAUUACGCUAAGUGCCUGAGUCCUCAGGUCCCAGCCUGGGCAGCCACACCUGUGCUCAGAAACUACCUUGGACCAUGGGGAUGAGGCUGACCUUUCUGCUCGGGGGUUAGUCAAGACGUGGAAACAACCCAAGUGCCCAUCAACAGAAAACUGGCUUAAUAAGAUAUGAGAAGAAAAGACAUACACAGUAAUACUACUCAGCCAUAAAAAUUGAAAAAUUGCUGUUUGCAGCAACAUUGAUGGGUCUAGAGAACAUUAUACUUAAUGAAAUGUCAGGUAAGAAAAAGACAAAUGCUAUAUGAUAUCACUUAUGUGUGGCAUCUAUAAACACAAAUAAAUCUAUACACAAAACAGAAACACACAGACAUAGAAAGCAAACUUAUGGUCAACUGUGAUAAAAAAAAAGAAAAAAGAAAACAAAUUUACGGUUAUCAAGGGGAGAGGAAAGGAGGGAGAAAUUAGGAAUAUGGGAUUAACAGACACAAGUGCUAUAUUUAAGAUAGAAGGGCAAUAUGGGUUUACUGUAUAGCACAGGAAGUUAUAGUCAGUAUAAUAACCUAUAAUGGAAUAUAAACAAAAAAACA
This is a non-coding RNA of Sus scrofa (pig), 696 nucleotides long. NCBI's taxonomy places the organism in Eukaryota, Metazoa, Chordata, Mammalia, Artiodactyla, Suidae. The record is from RefSeq and is a predicted model, not a curated record.